This 282-nucleotide small RNA is filed under the name Nomascus leucogenys (northern white-cheeked gibbon). Its description in RNAcentral is "Metazoan signal recognition particle RNA (ENSNLEG00000028718.1)". Lineage: Eukaryota; Metazoa; Chordata; Mammalia; Primates; Hylobatidae. The record is from RNAcentral.
GCUGGGCAUGGUGGCUCAUGCCUGUAAUCCCAGCACUUUGGAAGGCUGAGGCAGGAGGAUCACCUGAGGUCAGGAGUUCGAGAGCAGUCUGGCCAACAUGGCGAAACCUCAUCUCUACUAAAAAUACAAAAAUUAGCUGGGUGUGGUGGCAGAUGCCUGUAAUCCCAGCUACUCAGGAGGUUGAGGCAGGAGAAUCGCUUGAAUCCAGGAGGUGGAGGUUGCAGUGAGCCGAGAUCUUGCCACUGCACUCCAGCCUGGGCAACAGAGAGAGACUCUGUCUCA